AGAAUCAACGCUGGCGGCGUGCCUAACACAUGCAAGUCGAACGAGGACGGGUAGCAAUACCUUAGUAAAGUGGCGCACGGGUGAGUAACACGUGACUAACCUACCCUGGAGUGGGGGAUAACUGAGAGAAAUCUUAGCUAAUACCGCAUAACACCUACGGGUCAAAGGAGCAAUUCGCUUCAGGAGGGGGUCGCGGCAGAUUAGAUAGUUGGCGGGGUAAUGGCCCACCAAGUCAGUGAUCUGUAUCCGGCCUGAGAGGGCGCGACGGAACGACGACUGGAACUGAACACGGUCCAGACUCCUACGGGAGGCAGCAGUGGGGAAUUUUGCGCAAUGGGGGAAACCCUGACGCAGCAACGCCGCGUGGAGGAUGAAGUACUUCGGUACGUAAACUCCUUUCGAUCGGGACGAUAAUGACGGUACCGGAAGAAGAAGCCCCGGCUAACUUCGUGCCAGCAGCCG
RNAcentral lists this ribosomal RNA (462 nucleotides) under uncultured bacterium. Its description in RNAcentral is "SSU rRNA". It matches the Rfam family "Bacterial small subunit ribosomal RNA", at positions 26 to 517 of the family's 1533-position model. The record is from RNAcentral.